RNAcentral lists this long non-coding RNA (684 nucleotides) under Bos indicus x Bos taurus (hybrid cattle). Its description in RNAcentral is "lncRNA (ENSBIXG00000006561.1)". The record is from RNAcentral. Lineage: Eukaryota; Metazoa; Chordata; Mammalia; Artiodactyla; Bovidae.
AUGACAGGCUAUUUGAAACAUACACCAUAUCGUUUGCUACUGCUCAAACUGUUGGAGACUGUGUUGAAACACAUGCUCCCAGAAGCCUGCCUCUUUCUUCUCCAUGCCAUGGAGGUAAAAUGGAGUCUGAAGAUGGUGAAGUUUCAAAGGGUGCAGCCAGAAGAUCACGGAAGCCGUUGGCACUGCACCAGUAAUUGUGGCUUCCUUAAUAAGGCCUCGCUCCUCCAAGGCUGUAAAGUACCUCAACUGCAAGGAAAGUUAUGUCCUCCUCCUCACCUCCCCCUCAGUAAAGAAAACAGCAUUUCCUGUGUUUGCAUCAGCUUCUCAGUAACUCUUAAGUGAGGAAUCUGACAGCUCAUAAUUCAGAUGGUGACAGAGGUUUCAGCAGGUAAAACCCAGGUUUCCAGGGUUUGCUGGGAAGUAAACUUGUUAUGAAUUUUAAUUAGGUUGGCAGUUACAGUGGAAAACCAGAGAUAAUUUGUUGGUAAAUAUUUUGUUGCUCCCACCAAACAGUGGAGGUCAGUGGGUGCUUUGAGAUGGGUUUCAGUCCAGGGUGGCCCUGACCUUCUGUAACCAUUUCAGAGGAAAGCCUGUGCUCAGGUUGGUCUGAAGGUGCAGUGGCCCAAUGUAGCACACAGUCACUGAUGAGAAGCUGAACAGGAGUUCAUUUUGAGGGCGGAGAUC